This 560-nucleotide ribosomal RNA is filed under the name Exiguobacterium sp. NH88-36. RNAcentral describes it as "bacterial SSU rRNA". It matches the Rfam family "Bacterial small subunit ribosomal RNA", at positions 112 to 660 of the family's 1533-position model. Lineage: Bacteria; Bacillati; Bacillota; Bacilli; Caryophanales. The record is from RNAcentral.
AACACGUAAAGAACCUGCCCUCAGGUCUGGGAUAACCACGAGAAAUCGGGGCUAAUACCGGAUGGGUCAUCGGACCGCAUGGUCCGAGGAUGAAAGGCGCUUCGGCGUCGCCUGGGGAUGGCUUUGCGGUGCAUUAGCUAGUUGGUGGGGUAAUGGCCCACCAAGGCGACGAUGCAUAGCCGACCUGAGAGGGUGAUCGGCCACACUGGGACUGAGACACGGCCCAGACUCCUACGGGAGGCAGCAGUAGGGAAUCUUCCACAAUGGACGAAAGUCUGAUGGAGCAACGCCGCGUGAACGAUGAAGGCCUUCGGGUCGUAAAGUUCUGUUGUAAGGGAAGAACAAGUGCCGCAGGCAAUGGCGGCACCUUGACGGUACCUUGCGAGAAAGCCACGGCUAACUACGUGCCAGCAGCCGCGGUAAUACGUAGGUGGCAAGCGUUGUCCGGAAUUAUUGGGCGUAAAGCGCGCGCAGGCGGCCUCUUAAGUCUGAUGUGAAAGCCCCCGGCUCAACCGGGGAGGGCCAUUGGAAACUGGGAGGCUUGAGUAUAGGAGAGAAGA